AUUGAACGCUGGCGGCAGGCCUAACACAUGCAAGUCGAGCGAGCGGCGGACGGGUGAGUAAUGUCUGGGGAACUGCCCGAUAGAGGGGGAUAACUACUGGAAACGGUGGCUAAUACCGCAUACUAUCGGAUGUACCCAGAUGGGAUUAGCUAGUAGGUGGGGUAAAGGCUCACCUAGGCGACGAUCUCUAGCUGGUCUGAGAGGAUGAUCAGCCACACUGGGACUGAGACACGGCCCAGACUCCUACGGGAGGCAGCAGUGGGGAAUAUUGCACAAUGGGCGCAAGCCUGAUGCAGCCAUGCCGCGUGUAUGAAGAAGGCCUUCGGGUUGUAAAGUACUUUCAGCGGGGAGGCGUUACCCGCAGAAGAAGCACCGGCUAACUCCGUGCCAGCAGCCGCGGUAAUUC
RNAcentral lists this ribosomal RNA (406 nucleotides) under uncultured bacterium. RNAcentral describes it as "partial 16S ribosomal RNA". It matches the Rfam family "Bacterial small subunit ribosomal RNA", at positions 30 to 526 of the family's 1533-position model. The record is from RNAcentral.